CCUACGGGAGGCAGCAGUGGGGAAUAUUGCACAAUGGGGGAAACCCUGAUGCAGCGACGCCGCGUGAGUGAAGAAGUAUUUCGGUAUGUAAAGCUCUAUCAGCAGGGAAGAAAAUGACGGUACCUGAAUAAGAAGCCCCGGCUAACUACGUGCCAGCAGCCGCGGUAAUACGUAGGGGGCAAGCGUGAGCCGGAUUUACGGGGUGUAAAGGGAGCGUAGACGGCAGCACAAGUCUGGAGUGAAAUGCCCGGGCUUAACCCCGGGACUGCUUUGGAAACUGUGCAGCUAGAGUGAAGGAGAGGUAAGUGGAAUUCCCAGUGUAGCGGUGAAAUGCGUAGAUAUUAGGAGGAACACCAGUGGCGAAGGCGGCUUACUGGACUGUAACUGACGUUGAGGCACGAAAGCGUGGGGAGCAAACAGGAUUAGAUACCCCAGUAGUC
Molecule: ribosomal RNA, 440 nt
Filed under: uncultured bacterium
Lineage: Bacteria
Description: partial 16S ribosomal RNA
Rfam family: Bacterial small subunit ribosomal RNA
Source: RNAcentral